GGGACAGUUGUCAAAAUUUAUCCGAACCUCUUGUGGUAUAUAAUUAAAUAAGGUAAGACAAAAGAAGCAUCAUGGUUUUUCUGCCAUGUUAGGGUGGGGCUCAAGUAUGAUGAUGUAUCAAAAUAUCAUGCUUAAGCUAUACCCAUGUUAAAGGACAUUAUCCCUGAAGUAUUCUAUCAUUUUUGGAUAGUUUGUUGAGUUAAUUAUUCCAACCCCCCCCUCCCCACAAACAAAACUCAACUCAACUCAACUAAG
RNAcentral lists this unclassified non-coding RNA (255 nucleotides) under Hevea brasiliensis (rubber tree). Lineage: Eukaryota; Viridiplantae; Streptophyta; Magnoliopsida; Malpighiales; Euphorbiaceae. The record is from RNAcentral.